This 1538-nucleotide long non-coding RNA is filed under the name Sinocyclocheilus anshuiensis. RNAcentral's name for it is "lncRNA (ENSSANG00000043475.1)". Lineage: Eukaryota; Metazoa; Chordata; Actinopteri; Cypriniformes; Cyprinidae. The record is from RNAcentral.
UUAGUAGAAGCGCAUGGGAGUUGAAGUGAAAGUCCGUGUGCGUCUGACCUCAACAUUUCGCGCGUUUUGCGUUUAUGAACCUAAAAACACCUGCUCUAAUGUCCACAUAGAUGGGAGAGAAACCCAUUUUGUGUGAUACAAAGUCCUCGAGCGGGAAUAUGGAUUCUGUACAAUGUUGGAAUGGAGCAAAAUGUGACCAGAUCCCCACUAGGGCUAGACCCAUGUCAGACACCUUAUCCAAACUGGCUCAACUGAUCACUUGCAUCGAGUACAAACCAAAACCACAGCCAUCUUCAUCCAUCUGCAAAGACUGCGGCCACAAAUUCUCCGACCUGAACAGUCUUGUGCGUCACCAGGAAAGAGAGCACGCCCUGCGAAAGCUCCAUCGCUGUCAACGCUGUGGCCAAAAAUUUGUUUUGCUCUCUAGUUUGCAGCUACACAAAUGCUCUCACGCCUCAUCCAUGUGCCAGACGUGCAGGGGGAAACCUCAAAGGGGUUCAUCUUGCCCUUCCUGCGGGACUGAAUCUUCAGAAGAUCCCUUCUAUCAUGACAACAGCCCCUAUGCGUGCACCCCAUGCGGACAAGCCUUCAGCCACAAGCAAGGGCUGCUGCACCACCAGCAGGCCGGAGACUGUCAGCCUGCCAAGACUCUAAAACCUCCUUCACCUUCAUACGCCUCCUUGCCUCCAUCUCCUCCAAAAACCACCGCAUCUCUUACCACAUGCACUUUGUGUACCAGAACGUUCCGUUCUUCUACUGGACUUGCUUGCCACAUGCGCUUUUCCCACACGCACAUGAAAAGCAGCACGGAGAAGAAUAGAGUUCUCAAAUCAAGUAUGUUGUUUCCAUGCCGUUCCUGUGACAAAUCAUUUCCUAAGACAUCACUGCUCCAUCAGCACAGGAAAGAGGAACACCGGCGGGAGAUAAAGGUGAGGAAACUGCAGAGAACCUCUUUGAAGACCACCAGGCAAAGGCAGAAAGGUGAAACAUAUCCAUGCCUCCACUGCGGAAAAGAGUUCCUGCACCAUCUGACCCGUUGGGCGCAUUUUAGACACUACAGCUCUCACCAUCAGACCCACCUUAAAUUGAGUGGCAAAUCAUCCGGCGCUGAUGCAGUUGGGUUUCACCCAAAGGCAGCCAAGGAUCCCAGACCUUCCCAAGAAAAUAGACCUUCAAAGAGAGGUAGAGCUAGGACCAAAAAUCUACCUGUUUUGACAGAAACUAAGCAAGAAGAAGCAGCUGAAACGGUUAAGCAGGACGACAGUGAUGGUGAGGAUGCUGAGUAUGCUUGUACGUCAUGCGACCAGGUCUUUAGCUCCAAAGCUGAGCUGCAUGUCCAUGAGAACAUCCAUGAGGAAAUCCCUGAAGAGCGUUAUCAACCAGCCAACACAUGCAGGUGUUGUAGUGUGUGUACAUUUGGGAUUCCCCUCGCUGAGAUUCCAGAAGUUUGUGAAAAGAAAGUCUAUCACUGUGUGCCAUGUGCCGAAGCCUUCAUAGCCCUGGACACUUUUCUAGAGCACUGCCAGAAACAUCUGCUA